CAGAGGCCCCAAGCGUUACUGAGAAUCACUGGGUUUAAAGGUGCGUAGGUGGCGCGUUAAGUCCGUUGUGAAAUCCCUUGGCUCAACCAAGGAAAUGCUUCGGAUACUGGCGUGCUUGAGGCUAUAGGGGUCACUGGAACUGACGGUGGAGCGGUGGAAUGCGUAGAUAUCGUCAGGAACGCCGAUGGUGAAGACAGGUGACUGGGCUAGUUCUGACACUGAGGCACGAAAGCGUGGGGAGCGAACGGGAUUAGAUACCCCGGUAGUCCACGCCCUAAACGAUGCAGACUAGACUGCAGCGGGUUACACCCCGUUGCGGUCGGAGCGAAAUUGUUAAGUCUGCCACCUGGGAAGUACGGUCGCAAGGCUA
This 370-nucleotide ribosomal RNA is filed under the name uncultured organism. RNAcentral's name for it is "bacterial SSU rRNA". It matches the Rfam family "Bacterial small subunit ribosomal RNA", at positions 526 to 896 of the family's 1533-position model. The record is from RNAcentral.